AUGCUUGUUAAGACAAACAAGCAUGAACAAUAUCAUAUUGUUUACAAGCUUCUUAAGUUGGUAUUGAUUCUGCCAAUAGCUACUGCUAGUGUUGAAAGGGUAUUCUCUUCAAUGAGCUAUGUGAAGAAUAAGUUAAGGAACAAAAUGGGUGAUGAAUAUUUGACAAUUGCUUGGUUACAUUUGUUGAGAGAGAAUUUUUGA
Molecule: ribosomal RNA, 201 nt
Filed under: Triticum aestivum (bread wheat)
Lineage: Eukaryota; Viridiplantae; Streptophyta; Magnoliopsida; Poales; Poaceae
Description: partial small subunit ribosomal RNA
Source: RNAcentral